AACCCGGCCCUUUUCAGGGCCACCUACAUAUCCCAGAAAGAUCUAU
Branchiostoma floridae (Florida lancelet) is the source of this 46-nucleotide non-coding RNA. NCBI's taxonomy places the organism in Eukaryota, Metazoa, Chordata, Leptocardii, Amphioxiformes, Branchiostomatidae. The record is from Rfam.